AAUCUUAAGGUCUUAUAAAAUGCACACAAAAAUAAUCAGAGAGUAGGUUAGGGCAUUCGAGUCAGGUACGGAUCGGUUUCUUUCGGGUCUGAGUUCUUUUGAUCUUAAAAAUCUAAACAUAACCAGGUAUUUAAAAUUUCUGGUAUGUGUCAAGGCCGGUUCUUUCGGGUUCAGAUAUGUUCGGGUUCAUAAUUCAAAUACUUUUAAAACAUCUAUAAUUUUUGGAUAUGAAACGGGACUGGAUAUGUUAAAAAAUGGGAAUGGAUUGGUUUGGGUAUUUAAGACCUAAAAAAUGUCAAAACACGAA
RNAcentral lists this long non-coding RNA (307 nucleotides) under Brassica napus (rape). Its description in RNAcentral is "long non-coding RNA (BNAP_LNC027085)". Lineage: Eukaryota; Viridiplantae; Streptophyta; Magnoliopsida; Brassicales; Brassicaceae. The record is from RNAcentral.